This 274-nucleotide ribosomal RNA is filed under the name uncultured bacterium. Its description in RNAcentral is "partial 16S ribosomal RNA". It matches the Rfam family "Bacterial small subunit ribosomal RNA", at positions 523 to 796 of the family's 1533-position model. The record is from RNAcentral.
AUACGGAGGGUGCAAGCGUUAAUCGGAAUUACUGGGCGUAAAGCGCGCGUAGGCGGUUUGGUAAGUCGGAUGUGAAAGCCCCGGGCUCAACCUGGGAAUUGCAUUCGAUACUGUCAGGCUAGAGUAUGGUAGAGGGAAGCGGAAUUCCAGGUGUAGCGGUGAAAUGCGUAGAUAUCAGGAGGAACAUCAGUGGCGAAGGCGGCUUCCUGGAUCAAUACUGACGCUGAGGUGCGAAAGCGUGGGGAGCAAACAGGAUUAGAUACCCGAGUAGUCC